UGGGGGAUAGUUUAAUGGUAGAACUUCCGGCUCUGACCCGGACAGUCUUGGUUCGAAUCCAGGUCCCCCAGCCA
RNAcentral lists this transfer RNA (74 nucleotides) under Alphaproteobacteria bacterium. RNAcentral's name for it is "tRNA-Gln". It matches the Rfam family "tRNA". From Rfam's summary of the family: Transfer RNA (tRNA) molecules are approximately 80 nucleotides in length. Their secondary structure includes four short double-helical elements and three loops (D, anti-codon, and T loops). Lineage: Bacteria; Pseudomonadati; Pseudomonadota; Alphaproteobacteria. The record is from RNAcentral.